CGUGAGCAAUCUGCCCUUGACUCUGGGAUAACUGCGGGAAACUGUAGCUAAUACCGGAUACGACACCUUGGGGCAUCCCAGGGUGUGGAAAGAAUUUCGGUCAAGGAUGAGCUCGCGGCCUAUCAGCUAGUUGGUGAGGUAAUGGCUCACCAAGGCGACGACGGGUAGCCGGCCUGAGAGGGUGACCGGCCACACUGGAACUGAGACACGGUCCAGACUCCUACGGGAGGCAGCAGUGGGGAAUAUUGCACAAUGGGCGAAAGCCUGAUGCAGCAACGCCGCGUGAGGGAUGAAGGCCUUCGGGUUGUAAACCUCUUUUAGCAGGGAAGAAGCGAAAGUGACGGUACCUGCAGAAAAAGCACCGGCUAACUACGUGCCAGCAGCCGUGGUAAUACGUAGGGUGCAAGCGUUGUCCGGAAUUAUUGGGCGUAAAGAGCUCGUAGGCGGUUUGUCGCGUCUGCUGUGAAAAUCCGAGGCUCAACCUCGGACCUGCAGUGGGUACGGGCAAGCUAGAGUGCGGUAGGGGAGAUGGGAAUUCCUGGUGUAGCGGUGGAAUGCGCAGAUAUCAGGAGGAACACCAAUGGCGAAGGCACAUCUCUGGGCCGUAACUGACGCUGAGGAGCGAAAGCGUGGGGAGCGAACAGGAUUAGAUACCCUGGUAGUCCACGCCGUAAACGUUGGGCGCUAGAUGUGGGUCACAUUCCACGUGAUCCGUGUCGC
RNAcentral lists this ribosomal RNA (720 nucleotides) under uncultured bacterium. RNAcentral describes it as "bacterial SSU rRNA". It matches the Rfam family "Bacterial small subunit ribosomal RNA", at positions 116 to 849 of the family's 1533-position model. The record is from RNAcentral.